UCACCAGCCUUACUUUCUCCUCCGGAGCCAUCUGGGUCCAGUGACAAGAUAUAGAUCAGUAUGACUGAAGAUGGCCCCUCCAUGUGGUAUGGAUGUAGAUGAAGGAAUACUGGACUUGGAAACAAAAGUUCAAUUUUCUGAGCAUAUUGAUUUAUUAAGCACUUGCUAUGUAAAUGACACUUUUUUAAGUACUAGGGAAACAGAAAAACCAAAGAAUUGUCCAUACUUGCAAAAAGCUUACAUCCUGCUUUGGGGAAGAAGGCUGGAAGGAUGCAACAUGAAACAGAGCAAGAGCAGGACAGAUUACUGGAGGGUGUCCAUGGUUGUUGAAGGCCACCUGAACCUUUGAUGAACAGCUGCUGCAGCUUUACUCUGGAGCAAGUUUAACUAUUUCCAAUUGUCAAAGUUCCUGUAUUAUCUUCUGGGCACCCAAGUUUAAGAAGGAUAUCGAUAAGUUGGAGAAAAGGACAACUAGGAUGGUGAAGGACCUUGAGUCUCUAUCAUACAAAGAACAGUGAAGGAACGGGGUGAGAACUGAGAUCUUAUUAAUGGAGGGCACUCUGAAGAAAAGAAUCAGCAUAGAUUGAAAUUCACUCUGCAAAUUACGCUUCAGAGUGGCCAGCUAUACUAAGAAGUUAUUAAGUGGCACAGUAGAUAGAGUGCCGGACUUGGAAUCAUGUCAGACCUGAGUUCAAAUACUUAGAUAUUAGUAAGUCAUUUCAUAUCUCAGCCUCAAUUUCUUCAUCUGUAAA
Molecule: non-coding RNA, 752 nt
Organism: Phascolarctos cinereus (koala)
Lineage: Eukaryota; Metazoa; Chordata; Mammalia; Diprotodontia; Phascolarctidae
Source: RefSeq, a predicted model, not a curated record